Molecule: ribosomal RNA, 500 nt
Filed under: uncultured Glomeromycotina
Lineage: Eukaryota; Fungi; Glomeromycota
Description: partial small subunit ribosomal RNA
Rfam family: Eukaryotic small subunit ribosomal RNA
Source: RNAcentral
CCAAUAGCGUAUAUUAAAGUUGUUGCAGUUAAAAAGCUCGUAGUUGAAUUUCGGGGUUAGUAGGUUGGUCGUGCCUAUGGUAUGUACUGGCUUUACUGAUUCCUCCUUCUUGAAGAACUGUAAUGUCAUUAAUUUGGUGUUGCAGGGACACAGGACUGUUACUUUGAAAAAAUUAGAGUGUUUAAAGCAGGCUAACGCUUGAAUACAUUAGCAUGGAAUAAUGAAAUAGGACGUUUGAUCCUAUUUUGUUGGUUUCUAGGAUUGACGUAAUGAUUAAUAGGGAUAGUUGGGGGCAUUAGUAUUCAAUUGUCAGAGGUGAAAUCCUUGGAUUUAUUGAAGACUAACUACUGCGAAAGCAUUUGCCAAGGAUGUUUUCAUUAAUCAAGAACGAAAGUUAGGGGAUCGAAGACGAUCAGAUACCGUCGUAGUCUUAACCAUAAACUAUGCCGACUAGGGAUCGGAUGAUGUUAAUUUUUUAAUGACUCAUUCGGCGCCUUACG